GACGAACGCUGGCGGCGUGCUUAACACAUGCAAGUCGAACGAGUGUCGCACGGGUGAGUAACACGUGGGUGAUAUGCCUUGCCAUUCGGGAUAAGCUUGGGAAACUGGGUCUAAACCCGGAUAGUGCAGGCUGAGCUCGCGGCCUAUCAGCUUGUGGGUGGGGUAAUGUCUACCAAGGCGCGAAGGGUAGCCGGCAUGAGAGGGUAUACGGCCACAUUGGGACUGAGUUACGGCCCAGGUUCCUAAGGGAGGCAGCAGUGGGGAAUAUUGCACAAGGGGCGGAAGCCUGAUGGAGCGACGCCGCGUGGGGGAUGACGGCCUUCGGGUUGUAAACUCCGUUCGACAGGGAAGCGGUACCUGUAUAAGAAGCACCGGCUAACUACGUGCCAGCCGCCGCGGUAAUAC
This 405-nucleotide ribosomal RNA is filed under the name uncultured bacterium. Its description in RNAcentral is "partial 16S ribosomal RNA". It matches the Rfam family "Bacterial small subunit ribosomal RNA", at positions 28 to 526 of the family's 1533-position model. The record is from RNAcentral.